CCGGGCCCAAUUUCCUUGGAACAGGAGGUCAUGGAGGGUGAGAACCCCGUCUGUGGCUCGGGUGCCGUCGUCCAUGUGCUGUGCCCUCGAAGAGUCGGGUUGUUUGGGAAUGCAGCUCAAAAUGGGUGGUAAAUUUCAUCUAAAGCUAAAUACUGGCGAGAGACCGAUAGGAAACAAGUAGAGUGAUCGAAAGAUGAAAAGUACUUUGAAAAGAGAGUGAAACAGUGCGUGAAAUUGUUGAAAGGGAAGCGUUUGGCAUCAGCCCGUGGCUGUCGUCGAUCAUCCGAGCUUCUGCUCGGUGCACUCGAUUGCGGCCGGGCCAGCGUCGGCUUCGCCCGUCGGAGAAAGGCCUUGGGGAUGUGUCCGCCCUCGGGCGGCGUUACAACCCGGGGUGUCAUGCGACGGGCGGGGCCGUGGUCCGCGGUCCAACCUAGGACGCUGGCUUAAUGGUUCCAAGCGACCCGUCUUGAAACACGGACCAAGGAGUCUAACAUCUAUGCGAGUGUUUGGGUGUCAAGCCCGUCCGCGCAAUGAAA
RNAcentral lists this ribosomal RNA (536 nucleotides) under uncultured Archaeorhizomycetes. RNAcentral's name for it is "eukaryotic LSU rRNA". It matches the Rfam family "Eukaryotic large subunit ribosomal RNA", at positions 175 to 724 of the family's 3401-position model. Lineage: Eukaryota; Fungi; Ascomycota; Archaeorhizomycetes. The record is from RNAcentral.